AGCCAUGAGUCCCUUAGAAGGGCAUGGAAGUAAGUCUUCUAUUUCUCUAUUGCACUAUCAGUGUCCAUUAUUUCCUGUAACAAUGAUAGCUGCCACCAUAAAAGCUUUUCAGAUUUUGUUAGUCCAGGAAGGAAUAGUGACAGUUAUUCCAUUAUAACAAUAAUAUUCGGGGUCCAUCAUUGGGGUUAUUGGCAUUACCAAAACCUUGAUUGAAAUGUAUUGAGCAGAUUUUGGCAUCUGAAAGUAAUUUUCUUAUUAGACCUGAACUGUUCACUCUUGAGUUUUUUGGGUUCUGCAAUAUUUCUCGAUGUCAUGAGAGUGAAAUUUCUGUUAGUGGUGAUUCAAACGAAUACUUUCACCUCCUGGUGCUGAGAGACAGCACCAGCAACCCAUGUAGAUAUGACACCAUGCCACUGCAAAUGGAUUAUUUGUUCACAAAGCAUUUAAGCAUGGAUUAGGUGUGAUGGUUACAUCUUGCUUGCAGGUAGAAUCGUUAUAGAUUAUUUAUGCAUUGCAUUUGCUUUUAAAUUCGAUCUAAUCUGCUUCGUGAUUGCAAUGCAGUCCAUGUGCUAAUAAUUCCAAGCCAUACCUGACAAUAUGCUCCCAUGCUUGCCUUCUUCUUUUCUUUUCUUUUUCUUUUUUUUUUUGAAUUCUAUUAUUUGUUUUCUUUGGAGAAUAGUAGUUGGAAGAUUCUUUCCAAUUUCAUGCGGCUGUGACUGCAAGAUUUUGUGUAGCAAUUCAAAGUGCCAAAAUUAGUGAAGUCAUCUGUAGGAUUUGCCAAGAAAAGCGACUUCUCUGCAGAAAUCCAUCCAACAGAUGGCCUCACCAGCUGAGAAUGGAAUGGGGAAAUUCAUCUGUGGGCCUGCUGUGUUGGCCUAUUCCCUUCCUCAGAAAAUGGUGGGUUUGGUAUGUGCCAUGUCUGAAGCUUUAAAAAGUUUCCUUGUGAUGUGGUGGUUGGUCCUCAAAGACAUCAUGGUUGAACUCCUGCGGGAUAAGGAUAUUGGCUUUCGGAGUAGCAGUGUAGCAUUUUAGUAUUGGGUACCGCCUAUAAGUCUUUCUACUAUACUAUUCUAGUUGAGUCUGACUCUGGUGCCAAUUGCCAUCAUCUUGAAUGCCGAUCUUCUUCUUUUCACAUGAAGUAGUUAUCUUAGUGUAUACAA
This 1160-nucleotide long non-coding RNA is filed under the name Elaeis guineensis (African oil palm). Its description in RNAcentral is "long non-coding RNA (EGUI_LNC025581)". Lineage: Eukaryota; Viridiplantae; Streptophyta; Magnoliopsida; Arecales; Arecaceae. The record is from RNAcentral.